AUAGCAUUGAAAUUUCAUUAUGCUUUACUCCCAAUCAGUAAUUUGUGUUAGCAAUCACUAACAAGGUAAUUUUAGGUUUCUAUAUCUUUGGUUUCUAAGUGAUCUUAUUUUUCUACUUCAUUUUCAUUCUUGAGCCUUUUCAGUUCUUGCAUCUUGAUGCUUUAUUUAUAAUAUAUUUGUUGAUAAAUUCCUGGUUGGAAUUUGUCCCAGUGUUUCUCUGUGUAAGAAUUACCCAAAACCAAAACACAAAAAAAAUUCGGUGACAUUUAUUCAUUGGUUGCAAACAGGACUGUUGGAGGACCUUGGUGCAGCGCCAACAGGAGCAAUUGUGCUUCUUCAUGCAUGUGCUCAUAACCCCACUGGUGUUGAUCCAACUCUUGAGCAGUGGGAGCAGAUCAGACAGUUGAUGAGAUCAAAAGGGUUGUUACCUUUUUUUGACAGUGCUUAUCAGGUAACAGACAGACCUGUGAACAAAACAGGUUGUGAUUGUGAUGGAAUACCUGAAAAUUCAGAGAAUAAUGAAAUAUUUCUUCAAUAGCCUUUUCUAUAUGUACAAUCUGUUUAAUCUAGAGAAUCUGGUCAUUGUAGGGAUUUGCAAGUGGUAGUUUGGAUGCAGAUGCCCAGUCUGUUCGAAUGUUUGUUGCAGAUGGUGGUGAAUGCCUUGCAGCUCAGAGUUAUGCAAAAAACAUGGGACUCUAUGGGGAACGUGUUGGUGCCCUUAGCAUUGUAAGAUAAUAACAUUAUUUAUCUGAUUUCCACUGCUUAGUAGUUAUCUAAGACUCAAUUUUUACCAUGUAUGAAUUAGUAGAUACUCAAAGUUUGAUUGAAAAUGAUUUUUGACUUGCAAGAGAAAUUUGAUAGCAGAAAGCUUGUGAAAAAAACUCAUCUCUCCUUACGUAUAUCUUCAGUUGCCUUCAAACUCUAAUCAGAUGAAAACCUACAUGUUCACCUUUGUAGAUUUUAAUUUUUCAGUUAGGUUAAUAUUGGAAACAGGAUAGGACAGUCUUUUAAUUGUAUUAAGCAGCCAUUUAUUCUGGGUGUGGAAAGUAAUGCAGACAUCCCCUGUGGUGGUCGGUGCUAUUUUAGAAACUACAGCUGAUGUUGAAAUAAAAAUGACACCCAGAAAUAAUUGGAAAGAAGAGGGAAAAAACCACUGGGGAAGAGCUAAUGAAUGGCAUUUCUAAGGCCAGCGGAAGCUCCACCUAAAUCAUUCUUCUAUAAAUAUAUUGCCUGAUUAAACUUUGGUUUUACAGGUCUGCAAGGCAGCAGACGUGGCAAGCAGGGUUGAGAGCCAGCUGAAACUUGUGAUCAGGCCCAUGUAUUCCAAUCCCCCUAUUCAUGGUGCAUCUAUUGUGGCUACAAUCCUCAAGGACAGGUAUAAAUUUGUUCAACCUUAGAGUUUAUGUAAUAUGAAUCCAACAUGAAGUUGUACUGAAAUUCCACUAUAGAUGGAUGUCAGAGUAAAGACUACAAACUGAAAGUAAGGGUUUCUCAUACUGUAUGCAAUUGAAAGAAAGCAGAAUCAGAAUAUAGUUAAUUUAGGAGAAUGUACUGGAUUACUUUGAGUCAGUAAGCUGGUGUAUAAUUUUUAUGAUUUCUUGGAUCUCCAUAUCUAGAAUAAGUACUCAGAUAUUAUGGUUUUUGAAAGAAGAUUUUGUUUUUUAUGGACCCUGUAUCUUUAAGUCCUGGUCCUAGGUUUGAUUAUAUUUUCCUGCAGUGAUAUGUAUAAUGAAUGGACUCUGGAGCUAAAAGCAAUGGCGGACCGGAUUAUCAGCAUGCGUCAACUACUGUUUGAUACUUUACGUGAUAGAGGUAAGCCAGUCUAGAAUCAUCUUCAGCUUGGUUAUCUUCUUCAUGUUGCUUUCUUAUCCUUUGCUAUAUUUUUCCUACACACAAUUAGUGUUGUGGGUUUGAGUUCCAGUCAACCCCAAUCUUAUUGCAUAAUUUGCAUUAUUUGGCAAAACCGUGUUCAUAAGUCCACUGCCUUUUUAUUGCAUUAUUUGGCAAAGCCAUGUUCAUAAGCUUUAGUGUCAAGUAGGAGUUUCUUUUUUGGGGUUGCAAUAGGGAUUUCUUUUUUCUCUUGCGUCUCAGUGUCUCAGUUUCUUUUGUGGCAGUUUGUUGUUAGGGUGGUGGGUUUUUCUUCUCUUUUCUCCUGCUUGCUGAUCGGCCCUAUUUGUAUGCUUCGAGUGUACUUUGUUGUGCUUUUAAUAUAUCUUGCUUAUUUACCUAUCAAAAAAAAAAAGAAAAAAAAAAGCUUUGUCUUCUUGUUGCAUUAUUUGGCAAAGCCAUGUUCAUAAACUUUAUGCCUUCUUUCCAUUUUCUUCCCUUCCUCUCAUUCAGAUAUCUAUAACCUCUGACUGCUAACAAACUUGGUAGAAUGCCUUUUCCCUGCAGAGGGAGUAUGAGUUCUAGUGAAUAAAUUAUACUUUUUCAGUUGCACAUGACUGCAAAGUUCUCCAUUCCUUAUAUUUCUAUGUUAGUGAAGUUGACUAUUUUUUGUACCUCC
This 2506-nucleotide long non-coding RNA is filed under the name Vitis vinifera (wine grape). RNAcentral's name for it is "long non-coding RNA (VVIN_LNC003397)". The record is from RNAcentral. Lineage: Eukaryota; Viridiplantae; Streptophyta; Magnoliopsida; Vitales; Vitaceae.